Molecule: ribosomal RNA, 3089 nt
Filed under: Ambystoma mexicanum (axolotl)
Lineage: Eukaryota; Metazoa; Chordata; Amphibia; Caudata; Ambystomatidae
Description: eukaryotic LSU rRNA
Rfam family: Eukaryotic large subunit ribosomal RNA
Source: RNAcentral
CAGCCUCAGAUCAGAUGUCGCGACCCACUGAAUGUAAAAAUCUAACUAAGCAGAGGAAAAGUCACUAACCAGGAUCCAUGUCCAGAGGCGGGUGCAGGAAAAGUGGCAUACAGAAGACAAACUCCCCAGCAUCACUUAGGGGGCCUAAGUCCUUCUGUUUGGGGCCCACCAGGUGGAUGGUGUUAGGCUAGUAGCAUCCCCCGGCAUGCUAGGAUCGGGUAUUCUUUGAGUCAGGUGCUUGGGAAUGCCACCCAAAGCAGAUGGUGGACUCCAUCUAAGGCUAAGUAUGGCUGCGAAAUGGACCAUAAGGGAACGUUGUGAAGUACUUUGAAGAGAGAGUUCAAGAGGCGUGAAACCAUUGAGAGGUAAACGGGUGAGGAUUCAACCAAGUGGGCAGCUUGGUCAAUCAGACCACGGAUCCCCUUGCGGGACACCACCCAGGCACAAUUGGCUCCCAGAGGGCACAUUUCCUCUGUGGCCGUGCAGAGUGACCGGCUCAGGGUCGGCUGGGAAUGCCCGGGGACAGGUGGGUCUCUGAUCUGUUGAAGAGUGUUACAUCCCCUGGCUACAGUUUUGUCAUGUCCAUGGGGCCAAGGGAGGUUGACCACUGGCACACCCUCCUCCAUCAACCGACCCGGCACCACUAGGCCAUCACGGGGGUAGAGACAGGGGAUGGGGACCGCUGCUCCCGGUGCGACUGUCCACUCAGUGGACUGUCCUCAGUGUACCUCGACCAAAUCGCUCUUCCGGUGGGGGGCCCACAUAGGGUGCCAGAGGUCUGCAGUGAUGUUGGUUAACCACCCAGCAUGUCUUGAAACACAGACCCAAAGGGUCUAUCACAUACACAAGUCAGAGAACCAAGCAAAACGUGUGGCACAAUGAAGGUGAUGGCCAGAACACGCCAGCUCAGGUGAGAUCCCAUUGUGUCGUGCACACACUGCCACCUCUCAGCUGCUCUGUUGGGAAGUGGGGCAUGAGCGUGUGUGAUAAGACCCAAAAGAUGGUGUUCUGUGCCUGGGCAGCGCAAAGCCAGAGGGAACUCUGGUAGAGGUCUGUCGCAGUCCUGUCAUGUAUAUCGGUUGUCUGACCUGGGUAUAGUGGCAGAUGAGCAAUAGUGCCAUCCAGUAGCUGCUUCCCUCUGAAGUAUCCCACAGGAUAGCUGGCACUCAGAUAGCCCAGUUCAAUCUGGUGAAGCAAAUGUUUAGAGGUCUGGGGCCCAAAACGGUCUCAACCUGUUCUCAGACUUUAUAUGGGUGAGUAGCCCGGUUCACUGGCAUGAAGCUGGACAUCGAUUUCCAAGGCCCAGUGAGACACUUUUGGUAUGCAGAACUGGCGCUGCAGGAUAAACUGAAUGCCAGGUUAAAGCACAUGAUGCCGCCACUCACCAGGCCCCAGAAAAGGUAUUGGAUGAUAUAAACAUCAGAAAUGUGGCAGUCAGAAUCUGCUAUGGAGUGUGUAACGACUCACCUCCUGAAUCAACUUGCCCUUACAAUGUAUGGGGCAUGGAGCAUCAGGCCCAUACCCAACUAGUGCUGGCACUGAGAGCCAGAAAGGCUAAGUUGGGACAAGUAGGAGGGCUUCUGCCAUGCGCAUGGUAGUCCGGGAUGAGUGCUCUGGUGGAGCCACCACAGUUGCAGAUCUUAGACAUAGUAGCAAAUGUUCAAACGAGAACUUUGAAGGCCAUAGUGGAGGAGAGUACCAUGUGAACAGCUGUUGAACAUGGUUUGGUCAUUCCUAAAACAUGUGUGAGCACCGUUCAGAAGGGACAGGCAAUGGCCUCCGUUGCCCUCAGCCAAUCGAAAGUGAGUCAGGUUCAGAUCCCCAAACCGUAGCGUAGAUGGGCACCCUCGCGACAUACAUUGCUGUAACGCAAAAGUUCCUGGAGAAUCCGGUAUUCGCCCUGGGGAAGAGUUAUUUUUCGUUGUGAGGGCAGGGUACCCAGGAAUGGGUUUGACCCAAGGAGCGCAAGCCUUUGAAUGCAUCACAGUUCAAGGAGUCUAUGGUGAGCUCUCGCUGGUCCUUGAUAAUCCAGAGGAGAUAAGUUAAAUCUCAUGCAGGUCUGUUUUCAUAUCUGCAGCAGGGCGUCAAGAUGAACCACCUCUGGUAGGUUAGAACAAUGUAGGUAAAGGAAGUUGGCAAGUAAGAUCUGUAACUUCAGGAUGACAAUUGGCUCUAAGGGCUGGGUGGGUCAGGCUGGUACAUUCUAGUCUGGCACUGUGAGGAGACAUGACAGGUGUAGGAUACGUCGGAGGCCCUCAGGCCAGCAGUGAAAUACCACUACUGCUAUCAAUUUUUCACUUGCCCAGUUAGGUCGGUGGGCAAGUCCCAUGGGGCUGUCACUUCUGGGUCUAAGCACAGGCUCUAGCCAGAAGUCAACCCACUCCGGGGACAUUGACAAGCUUGACUGAGGCAGUACACCUCUGCUACAAUAACACACAUGCCCUAAGGCUAGCUCAGGGAGAACACACAUAUCCCACAAAGACGAAGGGCAAACGCUUGCUAGAUCUCUAUUUUACAUAUGCAGACAGACUGUGUAAGUGUGGCUUCAAUUUCCUUCUAACUUUUGUGUCUGACAAUUACCACAGGGAUAACUGUCUUGUGGCGGUAAAGCAUUCAUUGAGUCUUUCCAUUUUGAUCUUCCAUGUCGGCUCUUCCUAUCAUUGUGAAGCAGAAUUCGGCAAACGUUUGUUUGUUCACCCACUUAUAGGGAACGUGAGCUGUUAGUCCAUCGUGAGACAGGUUAGUUUUACCCUACUGAUGAUGUGUUGUUGCAAUAGUAAUCCUGCUCAGUACGAGAGGAACCGCAGGUUCAGACAUUUGGUGUAUGUGCUUGCCUGAAGGGCCAACGGGGCGAAGCUGGCAUCUGUGGGAUUAUGAAUGAAUGUCUCUAAGUCAGAAUCCUCCCUAAACUGCAACAGUAACAGAGCACUGUGGAGCCUCGGUUGGCCUAGGACAGCCAGCCCACGGGCCAUGCAUAGAGCUACUUGCCUACAGGACUAGAGUAUGGACAGAACGGGCUAACCUCACUCACCCGUAGUGCACCACAUCUUCAUGGAGAAUGUGGUGCAUAAUCAUUUUUAGACUACCUG